GACGAACGCUGGCGGCGUGCCUAAUACAUGCAAGUUGAGCGCUGAAGGUUGGUACUUGUACCAACUGGAUGAGCAGCGAACGGGUGAGUAACGCGUGGGGAAUCUGCCUUUGAGCGGGGUAAAACAUUGGGAAACGAAUGCAAAUCCGGCAUAAAAACUUUAAACACAGUUUUUAAGUUUAAAAGAUGCAAUUUCAUCAUGCAAAGAUGAUCCCGCGUUGUAUUAGCUAGUUGGUGAGGUAAAGGAGCACCAAGGGGUUGCUACGUAGCGGACAUGAGAGGGGGGUCGGCCACAUUGGGACUGAGACACGGCCCAAACUCCUACGGGAGGGAGCAGUAGGGAAUCUUGGGCAAUGGAUGGAAGUCUGACCGAGCAACGCCGCGUGAGUGAAGAAGGUUUUCGGAUCGGAAAACACUGUUGGUAGGGAAGAACGUUGGUGAGAGUGGAAAGCUCAUCAAGUGACGGUAACGACCCAGAAAGGGACGGCUAACUACGUG
This 497-nucleotide ribosomal RNA is filed under the name uncultured bacterium. RNAcentral describes it as "partial 16S ribosomal RNA". It matches the Rfam family "Bacterial small subunit ribosomal RNA", at positions 28 to 507 of the family's 1533-position model. The record is from RNAcentral.